AACGAACGCUGGCGGCAUGCCUAACACAUGCAAGUCGAACGAGACCUUCGGGUCUAGUGGCGCACGGGUGCGUAACGCGUGGGAACCUGCACUUAGGUUCGGAAUAACUCCCCGAAAGGGGUGCUAAUACCGGAUAAUGUCUUCGGACCAAAGAUUUAUCGCCUUUGGAUGGGCCCGCGUUGGAUUAGCUAGUUGGUAGGGUAAAAGCCUACCAAGGCGACGAUCCAUAGCUGGGCUGAGAGAAUGAUCAGCGACACUGGGACUGGGACACGGCCCAGACUCCUACGGGAGGCAGCAGUGGGGAACAUUGGACAGUGGGCGAAAGCCUGAUCCAGCAAUGCCGCGUGAGUGAUGAAGGCCUUAGGGUUGUAAAGCUCUUUUACCCGGGAUGAUAAUGACAGUACCGGGAGAAUAAGCCCCGGCUAACUCCGUG
Molecule: ribosomal RNA, 433 nt
Filed under: uncultured bacterium
Lineage: Bacteria
Description: partial 16S ribosomal RNA
Rfam family: Bacterial small subunit ribosomal RNA
Source: RNAcentral